GACGGAGGAUGCAAGUGUUAUCCGGAAUCACUGGGCGUAAAGCGCCUGUAGGUGGUUUAACAAGUCCACUGUUAAAAAUUGAAGCUUAACUUCAAAGAUGCCGUGGAAACUUUUAAACUUGAGUAUGGUAGGGGUAGAGGGAAUUUCCAGUGGAGCGGUGAAAUGCGUAGAUAUUGGAAAGACCACCAAUGGCGAAGGCACUCUACUGGGCCAUUACUGACACUGAGAGACGAAAGCUAGGGGAGCAAAUGGG
RNAcentral lists this ribosomal RNA (253 nucleotides) under uncultured bacterium. RNAcentral's name for it is "partial 16S ribosomal RNA". It matches the Rfam family "Bacterial small subunit ribosomal RNA", at positions 524 to 776 of the family's 1533-position model. The record is from RNAcentral.